Long non-coding RNA from Ictalurus punctatus (channel catfish), 2731 nucleotides. The record is from Ensembl. NCBI's taxonomy places the organism in Eukaryota, Metazoa, Chordata, Actinopteri, Siluriformes, Ictaluridae.
AGCAAUCUCGCUUCAGUGAAGUGCAUAUCUUGACUUAACAGUAUGUCAGGGGUCAUAAUCCAGACUGAGGGAUUUGAGUUGGUCAGCAGACUUGGAUGGCUGCAGCUAUUGCGUACCAGAUGUCGUCUUGCCAAGUUGGUAGCUGGCCCAAUUCAGCCCUUUGCCACAGGCCCUUUCCCACUAGACAGCAGGAACCAUUGCAUUAGCUGUAAUUGGAGCUACAAGGAACUGUGCAACAGUAUGAAUAAAUCAGUAAAAACAACUCCAAGAGAGGAUAUACCAAUCCACUUUCUAUGGAUUUUAGUGUAUUGUUAAGGUGAAGAAGUCUUGCGGAUCAUGUAAGACAGAAAUGUUUGUGGAUUAGUCAUGUACUUAGGAAUCAAGAGCUGUCUUUUCCCAGCUGGCAAGUGUGAAGAAUCAGACCCUCCUGUCAACUUUCUCCAGCCUAGGCAUCACCAGAACGGCAGAACUGCUCUGCGCUGGGUGGAAUCCUAUCUCUCAGACAGAUCCUUUAAGCCUGACUAUCCAUCUGUCUGACAUCUCGGACUCGAUGAGGGAACACCACCUUAAGCUCUACUUGGCAAAAUCUGAGCUUCUUGUCAACCCAGCCGGCUCCAUCAAACCCCUCCAGAUGAUUCAGAAUGCAGCAGCAGCAGGUCUCGUCUUCAACCAGCCCAAACGGACCUAUGUCACACCUCUCUUCAUCUCCCUCCAUAGGCUUCCUGUAGCCACCCAUAUCAAAUUCAAGGCCUUGAUGCUCACAUACAAGACCUUGUCUGGAACAUCACCCGUCUACUUCAACCCUCUCCUAAAGGCUUACAUUCCCUCAUGCAAUCUGCGAUCGAUUAAUGACCGACGCUUAGUAGUGCUUACUCAGCGUGGCUCAAGGUCCCUUUCCAGAACCUUCACACUAACUGUCCCUCAGUGGUGAAAUUAACUUCUAACCUCAAUCCGGACAGCAGAAUCUGUUGCUAUCUUCAAAAAAACAGCUAAAGACUCACCUCUUCUGUGAACACUUAACCAACCCCUAAAAUGCCAACCCCCACAUUAUCCUUUUAAAAAAACAACAAAAAAAAACUUACUCUGGCUCUUACACCUCUACUCUGUGCACUUUGCUUUUCUAGAACUCAAUUAUAAACCUUGUAUGGUAGCACUACUUGUAUUGUUCUCUGCUUGAUAUAUUGCUUUGCUUGUAUUUCCUCAUUUGUAAUUCACUUUGGAUAAAAGCGUCUGCUAAAUGAAUAAAUGUAAAUGUAAAUGUAAUUGUGCUGUCACAUGUGAUAUGUGUGAAGAGAUUCCAUUGUCACAGCUCAGAGUUAAUCAUUUGAACGUGACCUUAUCAUGAAGGGAAAUUCAGGACAGUGCAAUCAAAGCCAGUCUGUUUGUUUACAGGGAUAUUGUUCAUUUGCAGCUCCACAAAGAGGCACUUGUGAGUCUCCAAACACAUGACACAUAAUAAGUAUGUCAGUAACUCUCUGAGCUAACACCGAUAACACAUACCAGGUCAUGUUCCCCAUUGCAAACUCACUCACUUGCUGACUGUUUGUCAUUGACCCCUGCUGAUCUAAGUGUGUCCAGGGAACAGACCUCUGGAGCCUGUGCGUGGUCAAGGCUGUGUCAGAGAGCACUUUGCUUACACCCAACUGGAGGGAAAAUGCAUUGGUGCUGACAUUGUUUUGACAGAUGAGUUUCCUCCAGCCAUAAAGCCAACAGCCUUUAAAAAUGAGCCUGCAUUAUGAGGUGUUCUAUUAAAGUGAGCGUUUCAUGCUACCCACUGUGGCUUCCUACUGUUGCUUUGCCAUUAAGUUAAAUAAAGCACAGUAGCAUGAAAUUGCCCCAUAAAGCGUGUUGGCUUAGAGAUCUAGAAAGUGACAACAUUGUGUCUUUAAUGUGUUCUGUCAUCCCACAGAAGACCUUACAUUCACUCCACUGGUAACUGUGUAGAGAUUUUCAAUAGAUCAAGAGACACGAUGUAUGGUAUAUCCAUUUUUAUUGCUGAGGAAACCAUAAUAUUUUUAAUGUUGCAAAGCAAUUAUAGUAAUUAAGAACAAGCAAUACAACCCUUGGCUCUCUGCAAGGCAGAUUAAUUAACCACAAACAUAAAAAACAAUAAAGAUGGGUUGACGAUAAAGAUGUCAUUUAAAUGUCCAUAAAAGGCCAUUUCUUGGAGAGAAAAAAUUUAAUGGUAGACUCAAGUGCCCAAAGGGUAUGAUGUUGGCAAAAUUAAAGUUGUAUCUAGGCUUCAAAUUUAUAGACACUGCUUUAGACAGAGAGGUAACAGAACAGCAUCUUGGGAAACAAUUUCUGAACUGUUAAAUAGACCACAAGUCAUCAGUUAGAUUUGAACCCACCCCCAUACCCACCCAACCCAACCCAAACAGAUCAAAACACUCACACUCUCUCCACCCCCCCAAUUCAUACUCUUCACUCUUGGAUAUUCCUAACCAAGACUGCUUAUCACCUUAUCACACACACAUGCUAACCAUGAUAAUAGUUUAAAACAGCAAUGAUUUUCUCUAACAGUUAUAUUCUAGCACAUAAUGGAUGGAAGAUUAUUGCAUAACAUUGAUUUAAAUGUUUAAUUCUUAAAACAAUAUUUUCAUAGACUGUAUCACAGGUAUAACAUUAUUGUGCUUUACAACCUUACUUACUACAUAUGCACUACAUGAUAUUCAGUCACAAUAAACGUGUAACAAAUGUAACAUGGCAAAUGUACAUCUUUGUCUUUACA